This 253-nucleotide ribosomal RNA is filed under the name uncultured bacterium. RNAcentral's name for it is "partial 16S ribosomal RNA". It matches the Rfam family "Bacterial small subunit ribosomal RNA", at positions 524 to 776 of the family's 1533-position model. The record is from RNAcentral.
UACGUAGGGUGCAAGCGUUGUCCGGAAUUAUUGGGCGUAAAGAGCUCGUAGGCGGUUUGUCGCGUCUGCUGUGAAAACUCGGGGCUUAACUCCGGGCCUGCAGUGGGUACGGGCAGACUAGAGUGCGGUAGGGGAGACUGGAAUUCCUGGUGUAGCGGUGAAAUGCGCAGAUAUCAGGAGGAACACCGGUGGCGAAGGCGGGUCUCCGGGCCGUAACUGACGCUGAGGAGCGAAAGCGUGGGGAGCGAACAGG